Molecule: long non-coding RNA, 1041 nt
Organism: Pecten maximus
Lineage: Eukaryota; Metazoa; Mollusca; Bivalvia; Pectinida; Pectinidae
Exons: 6
Source: RefSeq, a predicted model, not a curated record
CUCAAAAUACGAUGUUCCAGAUAAUGUCAAUGUGUACAUGAAGCCUACAUGUACAUGUAAGUUUGCUUAACCUCUCUUGUAUUUCUUUGUUAUACAGGUGUAUUAGUGUCUGUGUAUUUAGUGUACAGGUGUAGUAAUGUUUGUGUAUUUAGUGUACAGGUGUAGUAGUGUCUGUAUUUAGUGUACAGGUGUAGUAAUGUUUGUGUAUUUAGUGUACAGGUGUAGUAGUGUCUGUAUUUAGUGUACAGGUGUAGUAGUGUCUGUAUUUAGUGUACAGGUGUAUACGUAGUAGUGUCUGUAUUUAGUGUACAGGUGUAGUAGUGUCUGUGUAUUUAGUGUACAGGUGUAGUAAUGUCUGUAUUUAGUGUACAGGUGUAGUAGUGUCUGUAUUUAGUGUACAGGUGUAGUAAUGUCUGUAUUUAGUGUACAGGUGUAGUAGUGUCUGUAUUUAGUGUAUAGGUGUAGUAGUGUCUGUAUUUAGUGUACAGGUGUAGUAGUGUCUGUGUAUUUAGUGUACAGGUGUAGUAAUGUCUGUAUUUAGUGUACAGGUGUAGUAGUGUCUGUAUUUAGUGUACAGGUGUAGUAAUGUCUGUAUUUAGUGUACAGGUGUAGUAGUGUCUGUGUAUUUAGUGUACAGGUGUAGUAGUGUCUGUAUUUAGUGUACAGGUGUAGUAAUGUCUGUAUUUAGUGUACAGGUGUAGUAGUGUCUGUGUAUUUAGUGUACAGGUGUAGUAGUGUCUGUAUUUAGUGUACAGGUGUAGUAAUGUCUGUAUUUAGUGUACAGGUGUAGUAGUGUCUGUAUUUAGUGUACAGGUGUAGUAAUGUCUGUAUUUAGUGUACAGGUGUAGUAAUGUCUGUGUAUUUAGUGUACAGGUGUAGUAGUGUCUGUGUAUUUAGUGUACAGGUGUAGUAAUGUCUGUAUUUAGUGUACAGGUGUAGUAGUGUCUGUAUUUAGUGUACAGGUGUAGUAAUGUCUGUAUUUAGUGUACAGGUGUAGUAAUGUCUGUAUUUAGUGUACAGGUGUAGUAAUGUCUGUAUUUA